UGGAGGAUGGAAUUAGAAAUAACGAGGUGGU
Molecule: non-coding RNA, 31 nt
Filed under: Rattus norvegicus (Norway rat)
Lineage: Eukaryota; Metazoa; Chordata; Mammalia; Rodentia; Muridae
Source: RNAcentral